RNAcentral lists this ribosomal RNA (492 nucleotides) under uncultured bacterium. Its description in RNAcentral is "partial 16S ribosomal RNA". It matches the Rfam family "Bacterial small subunit ribosomal RNA", at positions 29 to 507 of the family's 1533-position model. The record is from RNAcentral.
AGUGAACGCUGGCGGUAGGCCUAACACAUGCAAGUCGAACGGCAGCACAGUAAGAGCUUGCUCUUACGGGUGGCGAGUGGCGGACGGGUGAGGAAUACAUCGGAAUCUACUUUUUCGUGGGGGAUAACGUAGGGAAACUUACGCUAAUACCGCAUACGACCUACGGGUGAAGGCAGGGGAUCUUCGGACCUUGCGCGAUUGAAUGAGCCGAUGUCGGAUUAGCUAGUUAGCGGGGUAAAGGCCCACCAAGGCGACGAUCCGUAGCUGGUCUGAGAGGAUGAUCAGCCACACUGGAACUGAGACACGGUCCAGACUCCUACGGGAGGCAGCAGUGGGGAAUAUUGGACAAUGGGCGCAAGCCUGAUCCAGCCAUACCGCGUGGGUGAAGAAGGCCUUCGGGUUGUAAAGCCCUUUUGUUGGGAAAGAAAAGCAGCAGGUUAAUACCCCGCUGUUCUGACGGUACCCAAAGAAUAAGCACCGGCUAACUUCGUG